AAAGCUGUCGCUAAAGGAUGGACCCGCGGUGCAUUAGCUAGUUGGUAAGGUAAUGGCUUACCAAGGCGACGAUGCAUAGCCGAGUUGAGAGACUGAUCGGCCACAUUGGGACUGAGACACGGCCCAAACUCCUACGGGAGGCAGCAGUAGGGAAUCUUCCACAAUGGGCGAAAGCCUGAUGGAGCAACGCCGCGUGAGUGAAGAAGGUUUUCGGAUCGUAAAGCUCUGUUGUUGGUGAAGAAGGAUAGAGGUAGUAACUGGCCCCUAUUUGACGGUAAUCAACCAGAAAGUCACGGCUAACUACGUGCCAGCAGCCGCGGUAAUACGUAGGUGGCAAGCGUUGUCCGGAUUUAUUGGGCGUAAAGCGAGCGCAGGCGGAAAGAUAAGUCUGAUGUGAAAGCCCCCGGCUUAACCGAGGAAUUGCAUCGGAAACUGUGUUUCUUGAGUGCAGAAGAGGAGAGUGGAACUCCAUGUGUAGCGGUGGAAUGCGUAGAUAUAUGGAAGAACACCAGUGGCGAAGGCGGCUCUCUGGUCUGUAACUGACGCUGAGGCUCGAAAGCAUGGGUAGCGAACAGGAUUAGAUACCCUGGUAGUCCAUGCCGUAAACGAUGAGUGCUAAGUGUUGGGAGGUUUCCGCCUCUCA
This 643-nucleotide ribosomal RNA is filed under the name uncultured bacterium. RNAcentral's name for it is "bacterial SSU rRNA". It matches the Rfam family "Bacterial small subunit ribosomal RNA", at positions 202 to 842 of the family's 1533-position model. The record is from RNAcentral.